CAAUAGCGUAUAUUAAAGUUGUUGCAGUUAAAAAGCUCGUAGUUGGAUUUCGGGGCAGCCUGGCUGGUCCGCCGCAAGGCGAGUACUGGUCAGCCGCCCUUCCUCUCGAAAGCCCCGACUGCUCUUCGUUGCAGUGGUCGGGUAGUUCGGGACGUUUACUUUGAAAAAAUUAGAGUGUUCAAGGCAGGCCUACGCCUGAAUACAUUAGCAUGGAAUAAUGGAAGAGGACCUCGGUCCUAUUUUGUUGGUUUCCAGGGCCGAAGUAAUGAUUAAGAGGGACAGUUGGGGGCAUUCGUAUUUAAUUGUCAGAGGUGAAAUUCUCGGAUUUAUGAAAGACGAGCAACUGCGAAAGCAUUUGCCAAGGAUGUUUUCAUUAA
RNAcentral lists this ribosomal RNA (377 nucleotides) under uncultured eukaryote. RNAcentral's name for it is "partial 18S ribosomal RNA". It matches the Rfam family "Eukaryotic small subunit ribosomal RNA", at positions 592 to 976 of the family's 1831-position model. The record is from RNAcentral.